Non-coding RNA from Microcebus murinus (gray mouse lemur), 21834 nucleotides. Lineage: Eukaryota; Metazoa; Chordata; Mammalia; Primates; Cheirogaleidae. The record is from RefSeq and is a predicted model, not a curated record.
AGCCUAGAUCCCUCACUUGCACAGUUUGCACUCCUAUAAGAAUCUAAUGCCGCUGCUCAUCGGACAGAAGGCAGAGAUGCGAGCAGUGGGGAGUGGCUGUAAAUACAGAUGAAGCUUUGCUCGCUCACUGCUCACCUCCUGCUGUGCAGCCCUGCUCCUAACAGGUCACGGACCAGUACCUGUCCACAGCCCAGGGGUUGGGGACCUUAGAGCUACAAGAUACGUGGCCUCCAGGUUUCUCACGUGAACACUGGGGAUAUAAUAAAAGCUGCCUUCGGGGGUGUCCUCAGGAACACCCAGAGCACAAUGUACGAGGGGUCCCUGUAAGACAGGACUGGAGGAUAAUGUCCCAGAAGGUCCAAGAAACCCCUUUUGUGCGCUGUGACUUCGUUUUACAUGCCUGGUUGCUGGUCCCCGAGACAGACAAGUAUUUUGAGCGGCGUUGACACAAGGUCUUCAAAAUUAGACUUUAUUUUCUCUGGCAUGUGUUUCAUUGACAGUCUUAACUUUGCAUGAACCAGGAAGUUUGGCAAUUUAACUUCCUUGUGAUCUUGGGAGAAAGAGGUGAGGCAUGAAAGUGCCAGGUAGGAGAGGCAGAUGGAAGGAAAACACCCCGUGGAAACCCGGAGAUGGGCGCGAGCAAGGAGGAGCCCCCGAUAGCCGCUGCUCAGAGGCCCCGCCUGGGGGUGCCAGGGGCCCCAGGAGGCCUCCGGCCAGGCUCCCCCCUUGCCUGCUGUCUGGCCGGCUGCCAAUGCAGGUUUUAAUUAUUUCAUUGACGUAGUUUUUCUGCUGCUGAUUUUUAAAUGUCAAAGGCAGCCCAUUUAUAAGCCUUUGCCUUAUGUUUUGAGUAUCAGGGCAGCGACAUGUUCUUCAGCCUGGUGCUGCUUGCUAUGUGUAGUGCAGCAUUGGAGGAGAUUUAUCCCGGAGGAGGCCUUGAGUUCUAGGCCUUGUGGUGUCACGGACUGAAUCUGUCCUGGGACACGCCAGGGAGGCUUUCCUUCUGUGCCUCGGUUUCUCCAUUGGUAAGGCGGAAGGAAGGACCAGAGCUCCCGAGGCCCUUCGGGGACUUGAAAAACGUUCUGGAUUAGGCCCUGUCCUCGCUUCUUGUAAUCCUUGCUCUGGCCUCUGGGCAGUGGCUCCAGCCAGGACAAGUAGGUGUGGAUGGAGUUCUCAAGAUCUGAUAAGGGGGGCCUGACUCCAGGGAAAGGGCCUGGAAUGGACACUGUCUCCAAACACUCCUGAUGGUGACUUCCAGAAAUGGUUAAAAACUCUUGUCAUCGGUCAGCACAGAUGGGACCCCUGCCGUAAACGGAGCCAUCUGGAAGGAUGGCAUUUGGACACGAGGGGCCCAGAACACGUGCCUGCCCUGGGGACCUUCCGUCUUUCUGGAGCUGGAGCAGACAUGGGCAGGGAGGACGGCUCUGGGUUACAGGUUCUCCCGAACUGGAGCCGUCUCAAUCCAACCUUGCCGAUUAGACCUGUUUAAGUUUUUUGUUGUUGUUUUAACUGAAUUGAUCUAAAAGCAGCGGUUCUUAGUAGAGGAGGUGGGGGGUAGGGGUGGCUCCCCAGGCAGCAUUGGGCAGUGUCUGGAGACAUUCUGGGUUGUCACAGCUGGGGGGAGGGUGGUGUGGAGGGAUCCUUUUCACAUUUAGUGAGUAGAGGAGGCCAAAGGUGGGUGCUUAACAUGCUUGAUGCCCAGGGCAGCCCCCACCACAGAGAACGUUCCAGCCCCAAGUGCCGAUGGAGCCCAGGCUGAGAAACUCUGAUCUGAAGAAACAUGAUUUUAAAAUGAAAUGUAGUGAACCAGGGCCACUUAACUCGCAUAUUUAAAGCAAAUAUAUAAGUAAUGAGCACAAUGAAAUCCAAACAAUGUUUAUAAAUUCUAGGAAAAAGCUAUGAAUAGCCUGCAGAGGCUCCGAGCUCAAGCUUAUCUUUCUCCUUAUAACGAAGGGAAAUUAACACACGGAGAGACGUGGAGAGACGUGGAGAGAUGUGGAGAGACGUGGAGAGACGUCUCAGACUUGGCAGCACCAAUCUGAGCCUUUCUCCGUAGGUGGAAUCGGAUGGGAGAGGGGCUGCAUUCUCCCUCUGUGAUCCGAUGCUAUUUUGUGCUACGUCUUCUCACCCCCUAAAAGCAAACCGUCACCCCCCCCACCCCCCACUGCUGGAAUGUUCCACGGUCUCACACUUCGAGAAGCCCCGUCUUCUUCGCCACAGGCAAGAGCGUGAGCGGCUAAGAGGCACGGCCCGCUGCCCACGAGGACCUGCUCCCUGCCCCUUUCGUUCUGUGACUACCUGGAGAUAAUUAUUAGACCUAGAUGGGAAUCUUUUUUCUCUUUUUUCACAGGUACUUAUAAUAAUAAUAGCUCCCUGUAGGCCCAGGCUUUUUCAUCUUCAAAGCGCUCUAUAACCAUGAGCUCAUCUUCCUGCUGCCCAGUGAGGUCAGAAGUCCUGUGUUUGACUGCAUGGUGCCACCAAGGCAGGAGAAGCGGAGUGAGUCACCGGCAGUCCUGGCCGGGAGGCGGGCGAGGUCGGGACUCGAGUUUACGGUUGCUGGACUCCUGGACACGUCCUUCCCCGGGCCACGCCUUUCUCCUGGCCAGCCCUGUCUUGCUAUUUGUGCCAAACCUCAAAUUCAGGCGGGUCUGGAGAGAGCAAGGGUGACAUUUCUUUUCCCGGCUCUCCACAGGCUACUCUCCCAGAAGCUUCUGAUGCUUUUUUUUUUUUUUCUUCUUCUUCUUUUUCACACUUCCUCUAUGGCAGGUAAACCCCCCCCCCAAACCAGGGAGUUACUUUGAGCAAAUAUUUCCCUGUGGACCCUGUCUCCCAGGAUGGCGGUGGGAGCAGAGCCGGAGCAAUGUUUCCUUUCAUGGGCUCUGUUUGAAGAUGUCUGUGGUUGGCAGAGCCAGAGCCGUAAGGACCAGGGGUGUCUGGCCGAGAGCCGUGACCGCUUCGACGGGGACCACCAGGGCGCACGCAGCCGCUGGGUGCCUGUGGGCGCCGGGGUAUUUCCUCUGCGCUCCUCACAGUCGCUUCUGAGCCUGGCCGGGCGGGGAGCCAUGGGGGAGAACCCAUGCAGUGGGCUCGGGAGGCAGGAGCUGCUUCACGCUAUUUCCCGAGGGUUAAAAAAAUAGUAAUGAUAUAAAGGAACAUCUUUGGGAUUCAAGUGGCAUUUAAACCUGCUCCUGGACCACCGUGUGCCUCUGGAUCUCUUGGCCCCAAGGGGAGCUGGUCCCACUGGAGGUGUGUGGGCUCCUGCGGUACUGGCCCUUAGCACGCGCCUUCUGCCGCAGGAUUGCAUAAAUCCAGGCAGAAAAUGCACUUAAAGUCGGAGCUUGAGGAAUGGCAGUGAGUGCAUGUUUUUGUUUAUGUGGCUAAUGCCACCCGGUGUGGGUGAAACCAGUUUUCUGUGGCACAGAGACCCUUGUGUGCCUAGCAUCAGGCGUGGGUCCUCAUGGGUUGCUUUAAAUCUUAGACGCUUGGAAGAGUGGACGCUGUCAGCUCACAGCCGUGCAUUCAUUGAUGUAAAGCCUUUACUUUUGUGUCUUAGCUUGGGCGGCUGUGAGAAAAUUGCCAUAGCCCAGGUGGGUUAAACAAUAAACAUUUAUUUCUCACGGUUCGAGAGGCUGGGAAGUCCAAGACCAGAGUGCCGGCAUGGUCAAGUUCUUGGAGAAGGCCUCUCGUCUGGGUUUACAGACAACUGCAUUCUUGCCUUGCAGGGUGCAGAGUGAGGAAUCCGGGAGAGAGGCAGAAACCAAGCCCUCUCGGGUCUCUUCUUAUAAGGCCACUUAUCCCACUGUGGGGGCUCUGCCUUCAUGACCUCAUCACCUCCCAAAGGCCCCAUCUCCAAAUGCUGUCACAUUGGGGAUUAAGGUGUUAACAUAGGAAUUUGAGGGUGGGCUGCAAACAUUCCAUCCCUUGUGCCUUUCUGUGGGAUCUUGUCCAAUCACAGGCUGCACGGGGGGGUUACGGAGCUCCGGGGAUGGCUGGGGAAGGGACUCGGGAGAGGUAACUGCCCCCUGGGACCCGAGAGCAGCAGCAGAGACUAGGCAGGUUCCUCUUGCCUCGGUUGCUGAGCAUGACGGCCCCCACCUGCAGGAUGUGCAGAGGGGCACCUGGACAUUGACACCCUGGGCUUCUGUUGUCUCCGGGCCACCAGCUGGCCACGGCUGCAGGCAGUUCAUUUGUCCCAUAAAGGUCAAAUCCGGUUGUUGGAACAGUCAGCAGCACCCUGCCUGUCACCUCACCCUUUGUCACUAAAGGAUCUGGUUCCCCAGAAAAUAGAAGCAUGGCCCCAUUGUGGCAUGGUGUCCUCCUAACGUUUCAGCCAUCUCUUCAGGCUUCCUCGUUACCAUGGUUUCUAACUAAAUGCAGGUAAAUGAUAUGCAGAUAGGAUGGGAUGGAGGUAGGGGGAGGGGAAUGAAAACAGUCUGGAAUGAAAACAACCCUACCAGGGCACAUGACCUGUUAUGGCACAUUCUGAGCUUACUUUUCCUAUCCCUCUUAACCCUUUCCCUCCCCAAAUCACAAAAACAGCAGGGAGGACCGGAAGCACCACCUUUUUAGUUUGUUCCUUUAUCCUCACCCUGACACUCUUGAGUUCACUUUUGGCAUUGAAGUUGAACAUGCACCCUCCCCCUUCCAUCUGUGGUGCCUACUCCUCCACAUUCGAGUGGCUUAUCCCACAAGUUUGUACUUAAAGUGUGCUUGUGUGCUGUCUUGCUUUUAUAUACACACAUGUGUACACACACAUUUUUUAGCUUUUAAUUUGAAAUCAUUUCAAACAUUGUAAAAACAACACAAAGAACACUCACAGCCCCUUUACCCAGAUUCACCUGUUCUUAACAUUUGACUCCAUCAGCUUUAAUGGACUCUAUUUCUCUUUGUAAUUUUUUUUCUAAUCUGUUUGAGGUUAAGUUCAUACAUCAUGGGACUUCUAAAUACGCCAGUGUAUAUUUCCUAAGAAGGGGGAUAUCCUCCUAUGUAACCGCAGUUCACUUAUCACCUUCAUAAAUUUACAUUGAUACGAUUCUUUAGCUAAUCUCAUCCAUGUUCCAGUUUUGUCAGUUGAUAGAAUAAUGUCCUUUGCAACAUUGUUUCCUUCCAGUAAAGAAUCCAGUCUAGAGUCAGCGAUUGCAUUGAGCUGUCAUAUCUCUUUAGCCUCUUUUAAUUGGGAAUAUGUCCAUAGCCUUUCUUUGCUUUUUAUAAUAUGGACAUUUUUGAGGAAUACAGUCCCCUUUCCUCCUUUUUUUUAAAAAAAAAAUGGAAAAUUCAUCAUUUUGCAUUUGAACUCUUCCUGUGAUUAGACUGAGGUGAUGCGUUCUUGGCUAGAAUCCUGCAUAGGCGCGAUGUGGUGUCUUUCUCAGCAUGUCACUUCGGGAGGUACCCCAUGUCCACCUGUCCCCAGUGGGUCAUGCUCAUUUUGAUCAUCUGUGUAGAGUGUUGUCUGAUUUCUCCACUGUACAAUGAAUGUGUUUUUUCUCUCUUGCAACUAAUAAGCAAUCUGUGGGGAGACACUUUAAGUUCAGGCGAAGAUCCUCAUCAACACUUUCCUCUUGGAUUUAGCAUCCAGUGAUGAUUCCUGCUUGACGGAUCAAGCAGGCUGUCCUUCACCAGGAUGGUUGCCAAUGACUCCCCAACUGCUGUGCUCCCUCAACACUUAACUGUUCGGCACUUGGCAUUCUAUGGUCAGCAACAGACCCUCCUUCUCCCCUAUUUAUUUAUACCUUCAUCUGUUCAUUAUUGGUGUAGACUCAUGAAUUCCUAGUCAUUCAGUGGUUUAUGUGUCACUACUUUGCUGAACUGUUUUGGUGUUCAGAUGGUCCCAGAUUUGGCCAGGUGAAGCCCCUCCAAACUGGUUGCUGUGCUCUUACACAGUCACACACAUUUACUCCGGUAUAAGUCCCUAGACAAGAACACAUUACUAUUGUGACUUGCACAUGACGGUAACUCCAAUGUAUGUGUGUGGUGGGGGAGAGAGAUGUUUCUCGGAUGCUCUCUUGGGUCCCUUCACGCUGCCGCUAAGGAACAUCUGGAAUGCCAGGAUCUAAAGUCCAGAUUGCUUUAUGGUUAGGAACUUCGAAAUGUCACAGCGCUAAGAGUUCUACUGGUUGGCACCAGAAAAAUCUAAACGUGCCAAUCACUGAUGUUAAAGUCUCCUUUAUCUGCGAACCUCUUUUUACCAAGCCAUGCUGCAGAUUAAUAGCCAUCUUGGGCAUUCACAUGAGAGAGGUCAAGAAUGAAUCCUCACGUGGAGAUGAUUUUUUUAAAAGGGUCAGGAAGGUAAUCCAAUGAAUACAUAAGGGCCAGUGCUUUGGCGUGGUGUGCACUGUGGAACCCUGGUGGGCACCUGCCUGGCUUACAGAGGCAGCCGCUUCUCAGCUCUAGCUGUUUGUGGCUGUGUAGGAAUACAGGUGCAGGGUUGCCAGAUUUUCUCAUUUUGUAAGAUCAUCCAGAAAUCCAGAAUUUUAUGUAAAAAUCUUAAUAUCUUCCAGUCUUUACAUUUCAUCACCUAAUUCCAAAAAUAUUAAAGCACACUAUAGGUCUACAAGCAGAGCCGGCUAGCUGCAAUGCCUUGUGGCCCCAUGUUAUAGCCAAGGACAAAGCCAGGGCAUUCAAAACUGACCUUCCAUGAGUCUUUCUGAGGUUUUAAUUCGAUGAUUCUGUAAUUUCUUAUCCAGAGGUAAAAAGCUUUAACAUUCCCCCUAAAGGUCCAUUAAAAACAUAAAACAAAAUGAGAUAUAAAAUGCAUGCAUGUAAAACCCGAACUAUCUUCUGUUCAUGUUAAGUCCCAAGCGUAUGGCUAAAAACCUCCACAAAGCUACAAUUCCUAGCGGUUUACCUGAUGUAGUUUUCAUACAUAUGUGGCUACAUUAUGCAGUGUUUGGGGGUGGAUUAUUAGCCUCUUCUCCAGGAUCGAAGAAAGAUGGAUUGUAAGGACCACUGUCCCCUUGUUAGCACACAUGCCUGGCCUGACAUUUAUUUCCCCACUUGGUAAGAAGCCAUUUCCAGAGGGAACAUCUUCAGUAUCGUGCAAUUGGUUAAGGCUUCACAGAUAUUUCCACUGAAUUGUUACCACCAAAACCUUUACUUUAUGAAUUUUUGUUUUAUUACUUUGCUAAAGCAAAUACACUCCCAAGAAGACAUGCAGUAUUCCACUUCAGUCACAUACUAUGUUAGAGCUCUCUCUCUCUCUCUUUUUCUUUUUUUCUUCUCCUAAAGAAAAAUCAUAAAUGCCGACUUAUAACCCAGCACAUUUUUUUCCAGUAUGUGAUGUUUUCUGUCCUACUUCUCACUACGAAUGGGUAAGCUGGACUUUUGAUUUGAAAGGGGCUCAAGACCCACAAGUUUUUUGACCUAUAAAAUCAAAUAGAACCUUCAUGUUUGAAGUAGACCUGUCCAGUUCCACUGGACACUUUGCUUUAUUUUCUGAACAUCUCCCUAUUUCCUUUUUCUGUAUAAACGGUAUCAGAAAAGUGGAUUUGGUGAUAGGACUGACUUUGGCAAAGCCUUCUGAUCUGGGGACUUUCCUCCAUUAGGCUUAGAUCCUAGCCAGAGAUGCUGAAGGGUACUUACUCCAUGACUCACCUGGCCAGAGAGGGAUUCGAUUAGGAAUAGUACUCUGGGGGUGGGGGGGGGUUGUCCAAAUCUGUACUCCUGACCCUAAAUUUUCCAGGGGACUUUGACAUCUCUUUCCUGUGGCAAAGAGCAUCCCUACCUUUAGGAAAACGCAUCUCCUUGUUGCAAAGGGCAAACGAGUCUCUCCCAGUCCUGGUUUCUGCAGACUCAGCCCCCACAGGGGCACAGACCUGAAACGCAGUUGCUCACGCCCUGUGUUUACUUUUAUUCCCAGCCACAUAUGGAGGCCAAAAUUCAUAAGUUUAUUGCCAAGCCUUACAACAGUUUACUGAGUUUGUACGUUAAGGGAAGGGCGAAAAAAAAUGGCUCUCCUGACUUGUCGAGUGUAAAAUGGAUGGAGAAAACCGAUGGGCAGACCAUAAACCCCAACCGUGUUUAUUAACAUCUGCGGCCUGCAGACGGGGGAGGCGUGAGCGGGCCGUGUUUGUCUUGGAGGUCUGGCCGGGAGAGCUCCGUGGUGUACCCUCCGUAUAUAUACAGCGAGGCAUCUUUUUAACCCGCCAGAGACCGGGGGGAGGGAAACAAGGGCUGCUCAGAGGCGGAGGACCACAGGUCCAAGAGGGGCAGCGCGGGGCCGGGCACCGGCCGUGUUUACAGUCAGGGCAGUGCAGUGGGUGGGCCAAUCCUUGUGACGUAUUUGAGGCUUAAGAAACGAUCAUAAAUCUGAUGUCUGUCAAACAGGGUUGGCAUUUUCUUUUCACAACCAGGUUUUGUGUGACCAAAAAAAAAAAAAAUUUUUUUUUUUUUUUUUUUUAAAAAACAAGAAAUCCUCUAAACUUCUGGGACAAGGGUCCAGCUAUCUGGCAUCCACUGUCGGGCAGAAGCCCCCAAGAGCACACUGAGUGUGUCGCUGAAGACUGUCGCCUCCUUUCUCUGCUGGAGGAGGCUGUUCACACUCUUAUUUUUGCAUUUUUGCAGAGACGUUGGGGCGGGACGGCCGUGCCACAUGGACCGAGACCUGAAGCUCUGUGUUUCAGCAAUGCGGUUUCUGCCAGGGAUUUGCCCAGUUUGCUUUGGGCCCGAUGGGAGCACCCCGAACAGGCCAAGAGCUCCUUUAGGCCGCGGCUCCCGGUGCCAUAAAUAAAGCGGGAACGGAGGAGCAGUGUGGUGGGGCCCAGGGACGGGGGCAAGGACGUGCUGUUUGUGGCGGCCAGCCGCCGGCCACACGCCCUCGGCCUGGGGAGAAAUGUGCUGGGGAUGUCCUUUUAGCAGACAGUUUGGCUCUGCGGCACCUCACGUCUGAGGUGAGUCCGCCAAAGAAAAGGGCGCUUUUUGUGGUCAGAGCCUGGGGCUUGGAUGGAACCCGGGGACGGAGGGAGUGCGAGCCCGGGGAAGGCGUGGCCCACCGAGGAGGAAAAAAGCCCCCCUGUCUGUGUGGGGCGCGGCUGCCAGGUCUCUCCGCGCAGGGAACAGUGGGCCACUGUUGCAGAGCUUGGCCUGCCCUGGCAUCCAGGUGUGCCCUGCCUGGCCGCUCAGGUGUGUCACCUUAUGAAAAGAAGCAUGAGGCCCCAUCGUCCACUCGCCACCCACCUCUGCCCAGGGUCCUCCAUGUCCUCGGGAGACACCCACUUCGGGAUGAGCCAGCGCCCAUCCCGCGGGACUCGGGUGGGGCGGGGGGUCCCUUCCCCUCCUCACUGCGCCAGACUGUUCUCCCCCGUGGGCAGCGUCCCAGGCCAGCUCCGCACCAUGGGAUCUGCAGAGCUCACUCACUGCUUUUCAGGGCUUUUUUCCUGGCCCCAGGCCACACUUGCCUGCUUGGGUAUCUGGGCAGGAUCCUUCAAGGGUGUGAAACCAACGGGGCCAGAGAGGGAUGCUGGGGCUCACCCCAGCCAGCGGGGUGGGAUUUCCCUGUGGGCUGGAGCGGGGAGGGAAGGGCAUAGACAUGCUCCCAGCAGGGACCCCUGGAAGAAACCCAGCCGCUGAGAUGCCAGUACUUUUCCAUCGGUGGGUGGGGCAGGGAGGAGGAGGACUUUGAGCCCCGGUGACCUGGCAGCCUAGGGAUUUUCCGGGCUUGCCUGGGGGAGGUUAUCCCAGCUAGGGACUGGGAAUCAGGGAGCCUUCAUUUUACUUUUUAAAAUUUUAACCCAGCUUCACACUAACAUUGGUAAGGUGUUGAGUGGACGUGCCGGGCUCUCAUCAGUGUCUUCCCACUGGGCCACGAGGGGCGAAGGUGCCCCGGCAAGAUGAGUUACCCAGUGAAGGCAACACGCCGCCAUUCUGCUUCGUUCACUCAGAACGUGUUGUAGCUGCUAGAACAAGGACCGCUCUCCUGGGCCGUCUGUGUUUCCUACUUUACUUCAAGGUCAUGUCUGCAGUUUGUAAAAAAUGCAUGUUCCUUAGCCUUGUACCUUCAUGCAUCUUGUGUUCUCCCAGUUCCAUUUUUUUUUAACUUGUUCAGAAUUUCCGCUUUGUGCAGCGUGGCCUUGGAGCUGGGGUCCGCCCCAGCUAUGCCUGGGGUGCAGCCAGCAGGCCGCUCCCUGGGCCGGUUCACACAGCUCACUUUGUCUCAUCCUUCGGGUCGCAGCUUGGCAUCGUUUCCUCCCAGGGGCCUUUGCCAUCGCUGUAACGCUCUUCCUGCCCUCGUAGCAUUCUUCUUUGCAGAAACGUCACCAUGUAUAAUUGAGUGUUUGUGCUUACUUGCGUAUGCCCUGUGUCUCUGCCUGGAACACACGCCUCACAGGCAGAGGUUUGUGAUGUCGCCUUUAUCCCUGCUCCCGGGAUCUUGCAGCCGGCACACGGUGGAUGCCCCAUCGGUAUUUGAGCCUUUCCGGUGAAAGCAGAGGUCCCUGGCUGACUCAGUGGGUGCUUUGAACCAAGAAGGAAGCAGGAGGAAAAGGUGAAUUGGGCGUGGCAACCCCAGCACAGCUGCGUGCCGGCUUGGGGGUUUUGUUCCUUCUUCAGCGCACCCCCUCACCGGGACAUCCCUUACGCCUCUGCACGCCAACCGGAGUGGCAGCCGGCAGGCAGGAGCCUUGCGAUUAGCCAUCAGAGAAGGCCCAGAGACACAGGUACAAACAGCGGUCACGAUUAAUUCAGGGCAGGCUGUGUGUGCCUGGCUUUUACUUGGACUCACUCAUUUGCACCUAUGGCAACUCCGGCAGGUAGGCCCUGUUACACCCAGCCUACAGAUGGGGAGACUGAGGUACAGUCACUUGGCCAAGGCGGCAUGUUUUUAGUUACUGAGGGAGCUGGGGUUCAAAGCCAGGCCUGUGUCAUCACUGUGGCUUAUUGCCGUGUCGGGUGACAGUGAAUGGUCCCAGCUCCCUGGCGCACCAUGCCUCAGCUCCUGCUACCUGCCUUUUCCACCUGAGCCCACUGCAGGGCACAAAGGUCUUGCAGCGUGCAGGAGGAACCGGCAGGCAGGUGAGUCAGGGCCUGGGGGUCCAGGAGACAGGGGAGCAGGUGGAUUGCACCUGCUGGCCCUCCAGAGUGCAGAGACGUCCGUGGGAUAGCAGAGCUUCCUGGCGUGCUGCCAACUGAAGUCUGCUCCCAAUACAGCAGGCUGCGGAGCAAGGGGCCACCCUCCCACCGCGAGGGCUGGAUUGCCCGGGCCGUCUGGGGGCAGCACCCCACAGGCAGCUGCAGUGCUGACUCCAAGGCUUGGACGUAGGUACUAAGCUGGAAGCCCAGACGUGGGCAUGUUUGGUUGGAGGCAACAGAUCCUCUCUGUUUCCCUGCAGAGCCUGGCAGGGGGAGUGCUGUGCAAUGCAAACAAGGUUUUUAUAACCCGACAGAUUGUGUUACAGAUGUGUCUGUCCAUAGAUGUGGUGCAGCAGCAAAGCAUGUCCACUGGAGGGCCUGGGUUCGAAUCCAACUUCCACUGCUUCUUUGGUAUGUGACUAAGGGCCGGUGACCUUCACUUUUCCAGACUUUGUUUUCCCCAUCUGUAAAACGUGGAUAAUAAAGAUAUCUUCCAUGUUGUGACGUGAAAUGAGAGAAUACGCAGUUAAGUGCCCAGCACAGUGCCUGGGACAUACUAAGCAUGCAAUAAAUGUCAGAGGGUGUUUUCUUCUGUGUUUUAAAAAUCUUAGUAGGUGGGAAUAUGAUCUUGGGUAAAUUAUUAAGCCUCAAUUUCUUCAUCCGUAAGACGGUGAUGCUAAUACCCAGUCUCCUCAGGGGAGAGACGGAGUGUUACAUGAAAUAACACAAAUCAGGAGUCCAGAUCGUAAGAGAUGCCGUAUCCCUUAGUUCCCUUCCCUCACCCCACACAAGUGGAGGGGAAGGAAGGCGGCCGGGGGUUUUACCAUCCACUAGAAUACUGGGUCCUGACAGUUAUCGCAAAGCAACCGUCCAUCUCACCCUCCUCUUCCUCCUCCUCCUCCUCUGGGCUGCUCCCCCCAUCUUGGCUCUGGCACAGGUCGGGGCAGGAUACCCAUAAGGGGCUCCAGUCUUUGCACGUUCUUUCCUUCCACCCCAAGGUCAUCCCGUUUGUGUCUUCCCUAAGCCUCUUUCUUAAGCCCAGUCUUGGACGUGCCACUUUCUGAUCUAAUGAAACCGGUCGUGGCCCUCUGUUCAUCGCCCCAGCACCCAAAUCCCACCGGCACCCGAUCUCAUUCCUGUCACUUCCCACUCUCAGCCAUGCUCACCGGCGUGUAUCCCACCCCGAGACUGGAUUUCUCCUGCACCCAGCCCCUGUGCUCGGCACACCCCUCCGUAUGUCACCAUCUGUGCCUGUCACCUUCUUAAAACCCCCAACGGUGGGCCCUGGGGCUGGCUGCUCCUCCCCUUGGCCCACUGUCUCCCCUGCAGGGCUUCACCCGCAGUUGGCACCUUGAGAGUAGGGUGGGGGGCCCUGGGGGCUCAUUUCUGUCACUCAGGGGUCUUUUUUCACUUCCCAGCCCCGCCCCCCUCCCCCACUCAUCCCAGCACCCUAGCAACCCAGACUGGGCGCCCUGACCAUGGUGUGCACCUGCUGGUUGGGGAGCCCGGGUGGGAGCCGGGCCCGGAAGGAGAGUCCACCGCCGGAGUCGUUCUCCAGCGCCGCCCGAGCCCGGGUGUGUGUGGGUAGGGGGUGGUUAAUGAGUGACACCAAGGGGAUUUCCAGGCCCGCUGUGGGCACUGCCUUUCUGGAAACGGCACCUUCUGCCUCCGCCAGCCCUCCCCCUCCCUCCCAGGGAGACCCCACCCGAGUGCCUGCUCAUUCCAUGGGGUGCACAGGCCUCCCCCCACCUGGAUGGCAGUGAUCCCUUCCUUCAUUUGUUUGUUCUUUCAGUCAUUCAUUCACUCGUGUAACAGGUAUCUAUUAGGCACCUACUGUUUGCUGGGACUGCUCUGGGCAGAGCCCAGGAGCUGAGCAAGACAGGCCGAAGGAAGCUGCUUUCUCGGAGCUUGCUUUCUCCGGGGGAGCCGGGCAGACGACAAAGAGGGAAGGACGGUAAAUAAUUGUCUAGUAUGUAAGGAGGUGAGAGUGUGGUGGGAGAAGACAAAGCAGAGGCAGGAAAAGCAGCUCCGGUGUGUGGGCCCGAGAGGGUGGAGGGCAGGUCACAGUGUGGACUAGACAAGGUGACACUGGAGCACAGGCUUGAGGAGGGGAGGGUGGCGGCUGAGCGGCGCUUCGGGGAAGAUCCCGUGGGACGGAGGGCGCGUUGAGGCCAGGCGCCGAGCGGGAGCCGGUGCGUGGUGUGUCUGAGAACAAGGGCGGGCGUGGCUGGGGCACAGCGGGGAGCUUAGCACUAGGGGGGUGACCAGAGUGACCCGCACACCAGGCAGAGCCUGGAGGCCUUGGGCCUUCCUUCCGGGGAGCUGGGAGCCACGGCAGGGCUUUGGGCAAAGUGUGCUGUGAUCCGACUCGCCGUUAGAAAGGCCCCUUUGCAGGGGCCGGGGUGGAGCAGAGUGGCCUGUGGGCAGAGGACGUCGAGUGUGCCUGUCUCCCUUCCUCCCGGUCACACACACGUGGCCACAGAACGGCAGCGUGUAUGGUGGCAAUGAGCUGAAGAGCCACGAUACCGGAUCUCAGGGACUGAAUCCCAGCUGCUGAGGCUGCCAGACCUGCGAUAGCCUCUUGCGCUGGGGUUGUGACUUGGUACGAGGGUCCCUGUCCUCUCCCUGCUGCUUGGGGCCACCGGGGCUCACACCGGCAGAUUGCAGGCCCAGCAGCAAAAGACGGAAAUGAAAGGAAAAAUGAAGGGAGUGGGGAAAACGGAUAGGAUAGGAGGGGAGGACCAAAUGUGCCCGUUCUCCCGUCGCAGUGGCGUUAGGGCAGUGAGGGUGCAGUUUUUCUCAAGGGACACCCGAUGGUGACAUUAUCACGCCAGGGAGCAGCUAGCAUUGCCGGAGCGCAUCCGCCCUGGUCUCCCCAAAGCUCUCGGGGAGCUCCCUCUCAUCCUCCUCCUCCCUCCACGAAGGUACUGCUGGGCAGCUGCAGGAGCCAAUGGGUCGGCCCUCGCUCCUCUUUUGUUUCUGUCGUCCUGCAGCUGUAGGCGUCAUCGAGGCGUGGCAGGCCACCCUCAGAGCUCGUAUCUGCAGCGUGUGUUUCCUAGAAUGCUUCCGGGAGGACCUGGUCUUAGCGGUUGUUAGCGAACGUCCUGUGGUUGCACGUGGUCUGGAAACAGCCCGAGAGGGAAUGAACGCCGCGUGCCCUUCUUUGGGGGACUUCUCCGUCACUCCUGCGUGUGGCAGACAGCUGGCCGAGGGCCGUGGCCAGGACCCCCUUCUUCGUGACAAAGCCUAGAAACGGGCGCGUGCUCUGUUGGAAACACGUGGAGAAAGGAGAGGGCCGUGGGAGUGGGGCAGUUGGUACCUGUGUGUUUCUCCCAGGGUCGGAUGUGUUUCCGAGUGACCCCCUCCACCCAAGCUCCUGGGCAACAGCUCUGCUGCUGGGGACACUGUCCCGUUUAGUCCCUCGAGUUCUUCCGCUUCCAGACCAAUGGCCCAGGGAGAUGGAGCGAGAUGGCAGCCUUCAUGGCCGGGUCCCUGGGGCGGGAGUCAUGAACCGUAAUAUCACAGCCCUGCUGCCUUGCGUUGCUGUUGCAUACUUUUUGCAGAGAACUGUCGUGUCCACUACCUUACAGCCCCAAGGCUCCCGUGUGAGGUCACGGGAAGGAACGACUAUUUUUAGAGAUGAAUAAUCUGACCCCCAGGGAGGACACGCUCUCCCCCGGAUCUGUGGCGUGUGUGCGGUAGGCAGGGGAGAGGUGCCAUGGCUCGGAGCAUGAGUUCUGCCGCGACCGUAAUUGAGAGUGAAACCCGGGGCUCUGGGAGAGAGAGGCCAGUCCCCGUGCUGAGUGCCGGCGGGCGGGCGGCGGGAUGAGCUCACCGGGACCAGAGGCUUCCAGAGCACUGGCAGACGGAACUUCCCCUCGGGCUCCAACUGUGAGUCACCGUGGUGGUGCGUGUCCCUGCUGCGGGCCCCGUCCCCAGGCCUCCCACUUCACCCCGGGACAUCGUGGUCACCGCUCAGGCCUGGUGACUCACUUGGCCUCUUGAGCCAGCUCUGGGGGGUGGAGUCUGGCUCCUCCUGGCAUCUGGACCCUGGGUGCGAUCUGCGCAGCGGGGCUGGCUGCUCUCUGCGGGGCUGGGUGCGAGACGUGUGUCCCGGGAAAGCCCCCCGCCCUCUGCAGGGGUCAAGGAAAAGCCACCGGCUGCCGCAGCAAACGGGUUUCAAACGCAGCUCGGAAAGUCCGAAGGGCUCUGUGGAGGCUGGGAAGGGCCGACCGAGGGCUGCUCCUCCGUCCUCGUCCACAUCCCCCCGCUGGAAGCUUAGUGGAACCACAUGUGCCACCGGGACCCCCUCGAAGGACCUGGCUAAGGCUGGACCCCCUCUGGAGAGGCAGGAGCUCUGGAUUUGAUCAAGAAUUCUUAUUUUGGAGAAUAAGGAAACUUAUGGAUCUGGGUAGAAAGCAAUGACCCUUGGGGAGAGGCAUCACUGAAGCCUUCUGCAGGUGGUCCAGAGCUGUCACCGUGUCACCUGACCUGGGCUUGGAACCUGAGUUAGGAGUUGGCCAGAGAAGCCAGUCCCUGUCCGCUUUGGGAGUCAUGUCCUCUGAGGGCUGAAGGGGUGAUGCUUAUUCCAGAGGGUGUGAGAACCUCAUCCACAGAACCUGCCCGGCAGCAGAAUGAUUCUGGAUGUGCGUGGUAAUGAGCAAAUGCACAGAACCACGCGUGUGCCCUGCCUGGAUCCAGGAAGGCACUGCUGGCUCUGCACCUGGUAAGGAUGAACCUUGGGCAGACUUUUCCAGCAUCGAGGGGGAAUGUCUAAGGGUCCACCCCAAGCCUGGAGCUCACCCCCCCUCAAGGGCAACAGGAAACUCCAACUUAAUAAAAACUGUGACCCAACAGUAGUAAUUCAGUGACAGAGAUUGUGGUGCUUGUUCUCAGACCUCAGUCUCAGGAACACUGGGGUUCAGGGGGGUUGAUUGGACCCCCCAAGCUCACUCAGCAGGUUAACAGUGAGCUUUGACUGCAGCGGGGCUUGGGGUCCCCGUCUGGAAUGGAAUCCCUUGGUUGCCUCCAAAGCCAGAUGCAGGGAGAGGAGGCCAGAGAAGGCACCGGACGCCUGGGAGGGAGGGGGCGGGGGCAGGAUCCAGCCAGGCAAAGUGCUGGAGAAGCAAAAUCCACUUGUGCUGCUUUGUGCCUGCGUCAGGGCUGGCUACUCCCGGGGCCACAGCGCUUUGAGUGAGAGGCACGGGGAAUGGACUGGCCUCCGUGUGGGACGCCCGGCUCUCCAGGGAGGGGAGGGCUUCAUCCGGGCUGCGGCCCCCUGCUCAGUUCCGCUCUAUUUAGAACACUUUUUUUUUUUUUUUUGUGGAAAGCAGAUUGCUAGGGAGGAAAGCUCCAGGCUGGCUGGGGAAGCUGAUUGGGCUGCAGCUUUCUGAACUGGGGCUUGGGGAGAGGGGAGGACAAAGGGCUUAGAUGAGGAUGGGCAGGUCUAAUAGCCUUCUCCCCACCUCUCCCUGUCUCUCUCUUGCAUGGAACCCUCCCAAACCCUGCAGCCCAGCCCAGCAGCUCAUCUUUGGGCAGAACUUAAAGGAGAUGGAAACGUAGAAGCAUCUGAGACUAUUUUUUACUGGUUCAAGGUGAGACAAGCAAAUGAGAUUUUGAAUUCUGUGAAUCCACGCAACAAAAAGCGCCAGAGCCGUGAACACCCGUCCUCGCCCCGCGUAGCGUGUGCUGUUUAUGGGACUCAGGACACCGGAGGCCACGCUGCCCAGGUGCGCGAAGGCAUGUGAUGAGAUUCUCUUCUGGAAACGUGGGCAGCCGGGAUCAAAGGUGAUUCCCGAACAUCGCGGUGGUGUCUGUCAGCGAAGACAGCAGGUGCAGCGGCUGGUGCUUUGCUUACAGGACUUGGAUAAAAUUCGCCCUCCUCCACCAGAGGGAUGGCUUAGUUAAAUACAGACUAGGACACUGCAUGCAUACUUGGUAGGCCAGGAGAGCUGUGGGUGGCCAAAGGGUUUCUGCAGACAGCACCUAAAACCCUUUCCCUCUCUGUAGCCUUUGUCUUGCAGGAGAAGCUCAGUGUCUGAGAAGUGGUUCCCACCGGCCUAUCUUGGGCUUACUUGGGAGCCCAGCGGGACAGGGGUUGGGGGCUGGUUGUUUUCCAGACCCCCGUUGGCAUCCCGGAUGUCUCUUCUUCACAGAGCUCCUCCUUAAAAUGGACCAGAGUCAUUGACCCGCCUGGCCGAGGCGACUUUGAAACCAGUGGCAACUGUUUCUGCAGAGCUCUGGAAGCAGCCAGAGAACUGUGUACCGGCCUUACGUUUAUGGACUUCCUAAUGGACAAGAUCCUGGCCAGGUUGGUCCAGGUGCCAGUAGAUGGCUUCUUGCUGAGGUCUUGGUCACAAAGAGCCGUUGGUGACCUGCGAGUGCCCUAAUGUGUGAGUUGCUCCACUCCUUUCCAGCCGCCCAGCAGCCUGGAACUUCUGAGCCUCUGCAGAGCCCACAGGGCUUUGGCAACUAUCCAAGUAUCUUGGGGAGGAGCAGAAGAACACAGGCUGCGUUGGUCCUAACUGCAGCCCCGCCUCUGGGAUUCUAGAAGAUUCCUAAAAAGCCGGGUGCGAUAGUCGAACAGUAAGCCUCCUUCCCAAUAGGUCUUGAAUUGUUGAUCGGAACAGAUGGUGAUGGUCCUGCCUGGUGGCCUAGGGCCAGCCUCCUUUCUGAGUUAAACUAGCCAGAAAAAUCUCUCUCAUUAGUUUUGACUUCACAUCAGCCCCGACGCACAGGGCUGGGAGUUUUGUACCAGGCAGGUAACUGUCAAAAGAACACUCAAGAUGGAAGGUAAGGCAGAGGUGUGAGUGAAACCGCUGCUGUCUGUUCGAUGGUGUGCUCAAACCCAGACGCCAGCAGCGAGACUGCACCUCGGCCCUCAGACCCCUCCAAAGGUUAUGGACUGCAGAAUUGGAAACUGUGGAGGAAGACCUACCACUCGUCUCCACAGAUGGAAUGCUGGAAGACUGUAGACUUUUUUGCCUGCAGGUAUUUUUUGGAGGGAAAACACCAGGGAACAUUUUGGAGACAUGGCCCAGUACACUUAAUGACAUCGUUAAAUAAAUACUAUAGAGAUCCAAUGCAGACAGUGGUGUGUGACCAUUCUCUGAGGUCUCACCAAGGGAAAAAGAAGAUGAGAUUAAUGAGCAGCGUGGAAGAAGUCAAACACCAGAAAUCAUCUAAUACUAGAAGUUAUAGCACUGAGAGGCCGUAGCACCACAUUUUUAAGAAUCUGAGGGGAAAGAAUGCUUUUUUUUUUUUUAACCAAGGCCUAAAUACUGUCCCCAUGGGACAGAGAGAUUGUGGGUAGAUUAAUAACUCCUAAAUGCCCAAGGUAGGAUGCUGGGUUUGCAGCCCAGGCAUCAAUGAGAGACCUUGUUAAAAAUUAAUGUGCAUACUGAAGUGUUUAGGGAUGGAGUGUCCCGAUGGCUGCAAUUUACGUUGACACGCAUUGAAAAACCGAGUUGGAUUGAUGGAUAGAUAAAUGGAGGAUAAAGGCAUAGACCCGUGAUGAAGCCAGUGUAGCAAAAUCGUGACAGUCACAGAAUCUGGGCGGUACGUGUGUGGGUACAACAUUUCUACAUGUCUGAAAUUUUUCAAAGAAAAUGUUGGAGGGAAAGUGCCAAUGCCUGGGCCACCCAUGAUGAUGGUGAUUCAGUGAUUUGGUGAUAAGAGUCUAGAGAAUUUUGAAGCUCUGCCGGUGAUACUGACAGUCAGCCAAGUGUGGGUCCCCGUGGGACAGCCGUGUCCCUCCCGCUCGGACACGCAGGCUCAGGCUGAGCAGGGCUGGGCUGGGGCCUGACAUCUGCCUGCCUCCCUCGCUGCCAAGUGAUGCCGAUGCUGCUGGUCCGGGGACCACACCCUGAGCAGCGCGGACCACGAAGACUGUUCUUUCCAUCCUCGAAACCUAGCACGUUCCAGCUUGGGCUUCACCUUGGAAUCAUCCGGGGAGCUUUGAAAUGUACGAGUGCCGGGAGGUAUCUCCCGCUCCUGGAGCUUCUGGUUUAAUUGGUCCGGGCUGCAGCCGGCCUGGGCAGCGAGAUUUAAAAGCUGCUCAGAUGAUUCUAAUGUGCAACCACUGAUUUAGCAUCAUGAAGGGAAUCCGUGGACUAUUAAGUGACUUUCUGCACAGAAAACACUGCCUGGGCCUCAUCAUCCAGGUGAGCAGGGGGCUUUUCCAGUAACAAUAGUUCUUCUAAUAACAAUGAGAGGCUCAAAGUUACCUCCCCUGGACUCUACUUAAGUCUCCUCAUAAUGAGAAUGAUUAACAGCCAGCGUUUAUUGAGUGUCAGGCACUUUACCUCCAUUAGAUCAUGUAAUCAUCACAGUAACCUGGUGAGGCAGGCAUUAUUAUCCUGUUUUGCAGAUGAGGAAAUUGAGCCUGAUUGAGUUAAGCGACUUGCCCAGGAUGACAGCGCUAAUAAGUCCCGGACAGAGAUCUGAACUAGGUUUGCCUGACUUCAAAGCCCAUAUGCUGGAACCAUUGUAUUCUUCUAUUGCCUUCGUGAUCUAUGCCAGGGGUUGGGAAAAUACAGCCCAUAAGCCAAAUCUGGACAGCUGUCUGUUUUCAUAAAGUUUCCCUGGAACACAGCUGUGUCCAUUCAUUUACGUAUCAUCUGUGGCUACUUUCAUGCUCUGGGCAGAGCUGAGCAGUGGCGACAGAGCCUGUAUGGCCCACGGUGCCUACGAUAUUUACUGUUGCUAUCUGGCCCCUUUGCAGAAGCAGCUUGAUGGUCUUUGAUGGAUCGUCAAGGCAGCUUGCACAGAGCAAGGGCGCUAUCCUCGGCCAAGCUCAGAGCAAAAGGAAUAUCCCACGGGGGAUGAACUUGAACCGAUGGUCACUGUGGCUCCAGUUUCUGCCUGGAUAUUUUAAUUCAAUCUUGUGGCUUGCGUUUCACUCUGAGGGUUCCUUAUUUCCUCUGCACAUAUUUUAUUUUGAUGCCAAAAUUUCGGAUCUGUUUUCUUAAGAGCAGGAGGUCUCGACCCCAAGCCCCGGGUCAUCACACAGCUCUCUCUGGAGUGGGGUGAGGGAGGCCAGCUGCCGGUCACCUUCUGCUCCAACGCCGUGGGAGGCCUGCGUGGAAAAGCUCCAGCCCCACUGCUCCUGGGCGGUGUGGACGGCAAGAGGCUUCCUUCCCGUUCCACCGGCCAUCCAGGGUGAAGCCCUCGCCAGAGGUCAGGAGGGGAGAGAGGGGGAAGGAAAUGCCAGUCAAUCCAUCAGAGCCCCGCCCUCCUGCGGCUUCCAGGCCAAGAACUGAGUCCGAGCAUCCCUGACCCCCCCACACCCCCACCCCCAGGGGCGGAGGGGAGGGCAAGCUGGGGAAAUGCAUUUGGAAAUGAUUCUAGAUUUCCUGUUUGGUUUCUGCCCAGGGGGCUUUGGGAUAUGCGAACUCGCGUUUUGUGUGCACACGUGCACAUUUCACUCCUCCUUGUCCCUCUGGGUUAUUCCCCCGCCUUUGCUACGUUUCCUUCUCUGGGGCUUGUUUGUGUUUGUUGUCGCUGUUGUGAAUUGAUGUGGCAAAGUGGUGGGGCAGGUUCCCAGCCCCCUUUGGGAAAAUGCGUGGAAGAGGAGCAGGGAGCACUGGGGAGAGGUGGGGCUGCUUCGCUUGGAUUCCGGGAUUUGGCCUGUGUCUCAGGGACAUGCAUAAUGGUAGAGCUAUAAAGAACCUGCUUCUGUAAGCAAGCAUUGAUUUAGUGCUUACUGUCUGCGUGGGCUACAAAGGCACAAAAGAAAGCACAGUCUUGCCUUCUAAGAAGUGAGAGGGAAGGAAGAAAGGGCAUGGAGGAGGUUGGUAAGUUCGAUGGCACAACGAGGCUCCGGUAGAGAUGGGGGUGUACAGGGUGACCAGGAAUCCUUUGGUUCAGUGUCUCUUCCAAGCAGGACUGAGCCUUAGUCAUCCAAGAUGCUGAAGGCCCCUCUCACCAAAUAACAGUCCAAGAAAUAACAAAAUCAGGCAUCACCGCCAAAUGCCUCGCAUACCGCCCUGUAUCUAGAGCCCCAUGUCACCUGGCGGGUCUGGACUACCCCGGGCAGCAUCCUUUGCUCCCUCCUUCCAAGUCUUAGCCUCGAGGGGGCUGGCCCGCUGGAAUCCGAGGUGUAGGACCGUGUUAGAGGGAAGCUGGAAUUCCAGGGCGGAGGAGCCUGCACUCCUGGAGCUCCAGGCCAUCUGGCCUCUUCUGUUAGAUAAGGACUUUGAUCCUUCCAAUGGGCGAGAAGAGAGAGCUCUCCCUUUUCAGCACCUUCAAAUAUCCUCCCCCCUGGCUGUGCCUGGCCCCUCUGUCACCUCGCCUUGAGGAGACAGGAUGUUUUUCCCAGCUGGCCCCUUUCUCUUCCCGAUUUAGACUGGGAGUGAGUGAAGUUCAUUAAACCCCUCGUUGUGGUUGGAGCCACGUGGCUCAGGUUGCACCUGAAAGCAUCAGGUGGGGGGGGUGGAGAGGGGAGGACGGGACAGACUUGGGGUCCUCACUGCCCCCCCCUUUGCUCAGCUGGUGGCUUUGCACCUACUGAUGAGGGAGCCCAGCCUGGGGUUGGGUUGUGGUGGAGCUGGGGGUAGCAUACUACCUCCGGUUGCAACUUGGUCCGCUCUGCACGAUUCAUUCCGCUGCUUCUAAAAAUCCCUUACAAGGCAAUCACCUCUGGGUUUUCAAGCUGAAAUAAAUGGGGGUUGGGGGAGGUACAGGGAGGGGAUUGUGAUCCCCUUGUCAUCUCCCCUCCUGUGUCAUUUCACCCAUUGUUCCAAGAACUAAGUGGUUAAAAUAAAACCUUCAGCGAGA